GAGGGUAUAGCUCAGUGGUAAAUUGUGUGCUUAGCAUGCACAAGGUCCUAGGUUUAAUCCCUAGUACCUCCA
Transfer RNA from Camelus ferus (Wild Bactrian camel), 72 nucleotides. It matches the Rfam family "tRNA". Rfam says of the family: Transfer RNA (tRNA) molecules are approximately 80 nucleotides in length. Their secondary structure includes four short double-helical elements and three loops (D, anti-codon, and T loops). Lineage: Eukaryota; Metazoa; Chordata; Mammalia; Artiodactyla; Camelidae. The record is from Rfam.